Molecule: ribosomal RNA, 527 nt
Filed under: uncultured fungus
Lineage: Eukaryota; Fungi
Description: SSU rRNA
Rfam family: Eukaryotic small subunit ribosomal RNA
Source: RNAcentral
GAUGGUUCAUUCAAAUUUCUGCCCUAUCAACUUUCGAUGGUAGGAUAGUGGCCUACCAUGGUUUUAACGGGUAACGGGGAAUUAGGGUUCUAUUCCGGAGAGGGAGCCUGAGAAACGGCUACCACAUCCAAGGAAGGCAGCAGGCGCGCAAAUUACCCAAUCCCGACACGGGGAGGUAGUGACAAUAAAUACUGAUGCAGAGCUCUUUAGGGUUUUGCAAUUGGAAUGAGUACAAUUUAAAUCCCUUAACGAGGAACAAUUGGAGGGCAAGUCUGGUGCCAGCAGCCGCGGUAAUUCCAGCUCCAAUAGCGUAUAUUAAAGUUGUUGCAGUUAAAAAGCUCGUAGUUGAACCUUGGGCCUGGCUGGCCGGUCCGCCUCACCGCGUGCACUGGUCCGGCCGGGCCUUUCCUUCUGGGGAGCCACAUGCCCUUCACUGGGUGUGUCGGGGAACCAGGACUUUUACUUUGAAAAAAUUAGAGUGUUCAAAGCAGGCCUAUGCUCGAAUACAUUAGCAUGGAAUAAUAGAA